This 480-nucleotide ribosomal RNA is filed under the name uncultured bacterium. RNAcentral's name for it is "partial 16S ribosomal RNA". It matches the Rfam family "Bacterial small subunit ribosomal RNA", at positions 28 to 523 of the family's 1533-position model. The record is from RNAcentral.
GACGAACGCUGGCGGCGUGCCUAACACAUGCAAGUCGAGCGAAUGAAGUUCCUUCGGGAACGGAUUUAGCGGCGGACGGGUGAGUAACACGUGGGCAACCUGCCUCAUAGAGGGGAAUAGCCUUCCGAAAGGGAGAUUAAUACCGCAUAAGAUUGUAGUACCGCAUGGUACAGCAAUUAAAGGAGCAAUCCGCUAUGAGAUGGGCCCGCGGCGCAUUAGCUAGUUGGUGAGGUAACGGCUCACCAAGGCGACGAUGCGUAGCCGACCUGAGAGGGUGAUCGGCCACAUUGGGACUGAGACACGGCCCAGACUCCUACGGGAGGCAGCAGUGGGGAAUAUUGCACAAUGGGGGAAACCCUGAUGCAGCAACGCCGCGUGAGUGAUGACGGCCUUCGGGUUGUAAAGCUCUGUCUUCAGGGACGAUAAUGACGAUACCUGAGGAGGAAGCCACGGCUAACUACGUGCCAGCAGCCGCCGCCG